GGGGACUUAGGAUAACAUAUAAACCAAGAGCCUUCAAAGCUCUAAAGAGAAGUGAGAACCUUCUAGCCCCCG
This 72-nucleotide transfer RNA is filed under the name Rasbora spilotaenia. RNAcentral's name for it is "tRNA-Trp". It matches the Rfam family "tRNA". From Rfam's summary of the family: Transfer RNA (tRNA) molecules are approximately 80 nucleotides in length. Their secondary structure includes four short double-helical elements and three loops (D, anti-codon, and T loops). Lineage: Eukaryota; Metazoa; Chordata; Actinopteri; Cypriniformes; Danionidae. The record is from RNAcentral.